Anguilla anguilla (European eel) is the source of this 3539-nucleotide RNA transcript. It is a transcript of the gene named CUGBP Elav-like family member 3, with no coding region annotated. The record is from RefSeq and is a predicted model, not a curated record. The transcript has 15 exons. Lineage: Eukaryota; Metazoa; Chordata; Actinopteri; Anguilliformes; Anguillidae.
AGUUUGUCAGAGCUCAAGGGAGAGGGAGCGAGAGAUAGAGGUAGAAAGAGGGAGACACCGGCCGACAACGUCAAAGCGAGGGGGUGGAAAAGAGAAGCAGCACUCGAGAAAACAUCUAAACCGUAACGACAUAUAUUCCUUGACUUAUUAUUGCACGGUUAUUAAUGGUACAAUGCAUAAUAAUCAAACCGAAGAACGGAAACGAUAGCCUGUAUUAUCUAACACAAUACUAGCUUGCUAGCUUGGAUAAUCACGACAACAUAGUUGAUAAGUGUGGAAACCGUUGGGGGAUCCAAUUUAGUCAUUAUUGUCGGUGACAAGGGAAAGGUUGGACUAUGUAUAUGUAAGUUGGCUAGCACAAACCUGUAAGUGAUACAGGACGGAACGGUAGAUAGAUAAGAGCGUCACACGCUCGCAUUCUAACUGGAGGGAGGACGUAAAAGCGCGACACGGAUUUAUCAGUGCUUUGGUACAAUCGCUUGUCAAGACAUCAAGGCUGAAACUCUACCGAAGCGAAGCACAAAAAAAUAACUAGCAUUAGGCUAUCUCCAUUGGUAGAAUUCCAAAAAACACAAAAAGCACAAGAAGAGGGACAAAUUGAACAUAACACUUGGGGACGAAGGGAAAGACAAAAGGAACAGACCAGAAACCGGUGAAAGAAGAACAGAAGGAAAUAAGCCAUAUAUUGGAGUAUUCUUAACAUUUGGAUAUUUUCAAAACUGAGCUAUUUUCUCUUGGUAUUUGUUUCGGGGGUGUGUAAACGGUAACGUCUUAUGUGUACGUAUGUGACUAUAACGUCAACCUAACUGGACAAAGAGAAGCGCCCCCAUACAUUGAUAUACAGUCCCACUAUACCCGCGGUAGGGUUAAACAAAGGAGCCCAACGUAGAGACUGUUACUGUUGAUGCACAUUAAUAUUUCAAAUUUGCACAGACUCCCCGAGGACUACAUCCUAAACAGAAGACCCGCUCUCUUCCAGUUCCCCCGAGUCCCGUUCAUUCCCCAGUUCACUGUUUUAGUGUCUGUCCACGGGCGCUCCGACUGCACCCCAGCGCAACGUCCCAAUGAAGGAGGCCGACGCGAUUAAACUGUUUAUCGGGCAAAUUCCCCGAAACCUGGAGGAGAAAGAUCUGAAGCCCAUCUUCGAGCAGUUCGGGAAGAUCUAUGAGCUGACGGUGAUAAAGGACAAAUACACCGGCAUGCACAAAGGAUGCGCCUUCCUGACCUACUGCGCGCGUGAGUCGGCGCUGAAGGCCCAGAGUGCCCUGCACGAGCAGAAGACGCUUCCAGGGAUGAACCGGCCCAUCCAGGUGAAACCAGCGGACAGUGAAGGCAGAGGAGAAGACCGGAAGCUCUUUGUAGGCAUGCUGGGGAAGCAGCAGUCGGACGAGGACGUGAGGAAGAUGUUCGAGCCCUUCGGCACCAUCGACGAGUGCACGGUGCUGCGGGGGCCCGACGGCACCAGCAAAGGCUGCGCGUUUGUGAAGUACCAGAGCCACACUGAGGCGCAGGCCGCCAUCAGCUCUCUGCACGGGAGCCGCACCCUGCCGGGGGCCUCCUCCAGUCUGGUGGUGAAGUUCGCGGACACGGAGAAGGAGCGGGGUCUCCGGCGCAUGCAGCAGGUGGCCUCCCAGCUGGGGGUCUUCAGCCCCAUGACCCUGCACUUCGGGGCGUACAGCGCCUACACGCAGGCCCUGGUCCAGCAGCAAGCUCUGGUCGCUCAGUCCGCGUACCUGUCUCCCGUGGCGACGGUCGCCGCGGUGCAGCUGCAGCAAAUGGCUGCCAUCAACGCCAACGGCAUCAUCGCCACGCCCAUCACGUCCAUCGCCCCCUCCUCGGGUACGAACACGCCCCCCGCCCUCGCGGCCACGCCCGUUCCCGCCCUGCCUCCACCGAUUGGAGUCAACGGCUACAGUCAGUUGCCGGCUACGGCCAAUGGGCAGCCGGCUUCUGAGACGCUGUACACCAAUGGGGUUCACCCGUACCCUGCCCAGAGUCCUGUGGCAGCUUUGGAUCCUUUACAGCAGGCAUAUGCAGGCAUGCAGCACUACACAGCGGCGUAUCCAGCUGCUUAUGGAUUGGUUGGCCAGCCUUUUCCACAGCAACACACCCUGGUUGCUCAGCAACACCAGCAGCCCCAGCAACAACAACAGCGGGAAGGUCCUGAGGGCUGCAACAUCUUCAUCUACCACCUGCCCCAGGAGUUCACCGACUCCGAGAUGCUCCAGAUGUUCCUGCCCUUCGGCAACGUCAUCUCCGCCAAGGUCUUCGUCGACCGCGCCACCAACCAGAGCAAGUGCUUCGGCUUCGUGAGCUUCGACAACCCCGCCAGCGCGCAGACGGCCAUCCAGGCCAUGAACGGCUUCCAGAUCGGCAUGAAGCGCCUGAAGGUGCAGCUGAAGAGGCCCAAGGACGCCAACCGGCCCUACUGAGGCGCCUGGGAAAGACAGGGACAGACCCUCCUGUCCAAUCAUAAAUCGCGGAGACUACGUCGCUAUGGCUACGGUCUCCUAGUGACCAAUAAAGCCCCGCCCCCUUCCUGUCACAUCGUUGCGGAACUUAUGAGGGGGUGCAGUGAAGAACUCACUGGGGAGUCCGUGCUCUGACUUGCUGUUAACGCUUAGCGUACAAGUGCACUGGCCAUAUAAUGACACAAUCACACCGUACGAGUCAAAUCACAAAUAUUAAUAAGUGUGUACUGACUCAAUGCAGUCAAUGCGUAUGCAGUAACAAAUCAAUACAUAUUUUCGAGAUUCUCUCUCUCUCUCUCUCUCUCUCUCUCUCUCACACACACACACACACGGCUGUACAUGCUAAAGUCAACCACACAAAAACAUAUCAAUUUACUUGCCUAGAAAAAAAAAAUUGGUUUGAUUCAUGCGCUUAGUUAGUUGUACGAGGUGUAAUAAGUUGUGGAGAAAGAAUGCAGCGAAAUUGGGCUGGAGAUAAGACAGUACGGAUUGAAAAGUGGAAUAACGAAUUAUAAUGUAUUACUGCUUUUGGUCUAUCAUGUUGUGAGUUAGCAUCUCUACCUAUAAAGAAAAGAAAAAAGAAAUGAACUACUUAAAAAGACUUCAAGAAAAAAGAAGACACUUCUAACUGUAAAUAAUUUAGUUUACGAAAAUAAGUUUAAAAAACAACAAAAAAUGCUAAAUAAACAUUAUUAUUAUUAUUAUUAUUAUUAUUAUUAUUAUUAUUAGAGUAUAGUAUUAAGGUUUAGGAAAUGGGUUGAAAAAGCAACAAAUAUCAAAUUGCAAUGUAGAUUUUUUAGCUGUUGGUAUGUUGUGGGAGGGCAGAAAUUGGGGGAAUUUUAAUAUUUGAAAUAUUUUUAUUUGCUAAUUUAUUUAUUAAUAAGGGAAAGGGGCAAUUUUUAUUUAAGAUUUUUUAGAGAAUCGAUUUCUGGGGUCUGUACAUUUCAGACUUUAAUUGAAAAAUUAUAAGUAUGAAUUAAUCAUUAUACUGAUUGAUAUUUCUUAUUUAUGAAUUGAUGUUUUUGAUCCUCUCUUUUUAAGUUAAAAUAAAAAAAACAUGAACAUUAA